GAUACCCAGGAAUCUUUGAGGCUGUGUUAGUUGUGCAUGAAUUGGUGCCAGUGCCCAGUGAAUAACCAUGCACUCCAGCCUGGGCAACAUAGUGAAACCCCAUUAAAUAAAUAAAUUAAUACAUAAAUAAGUUACAGAGAUCACUGUUUAUACUUCUAUUAUUAGGGCUCAAAACCUCUAGAUAGAGUUUUUGUUUGUUUGUUUGUUUGUUUUGCGUUGGAGUCUCACUCUGUACCCAGGCUAGAGUGUAGUGGUGCGAUCUCAGCUCACUGAAACCUCCACCUCCCAGGUUGAUGCCAUUCUCCUGCCUCAGCCUCCCGAGUAGCUGGGACUACAGGUGCCUGCCACCACGCCUGGCUAAUUUUUAUGGUUUUGGUAGAAACGGGGUUUCACCGUGUUAGCCAGGAUGGUCUCGAUCUCCUGACCUCAUGGUCCACCCGCCUCGGCCUCCCAAACUGCUGGGAUUACAGGCGUGAUGAGCCACUGCACCAGGCCUGAGAUUUUUCUUUAUCUUUGGAGAACUACGACUCCAGGGCAAACUUUCAAGUAAUGCUUUGCCAUUUUUACUUUCCCUCUCAAGGAUUCCUGGGACUAUACUUUGUAAAAUUAUCACACAGCAUGUAUUUUAUUUUUACUUCUGUUUCCUGUUAAGGCCUCUCUGGAUGGUGGCUAUAACCUAUAGCCUUGCCCAGUACGACUCAGGGUUUGGUACUGAAUGUGCCUUUCAUGGAAUGCUUGCUUAUCCUGAUCGAUGGCCUAAAGCCGAACUGUCCAGCUUACAUCCGGGGAUAAGCUUCAGCAUGCAGGGCCUCCGGAAGAAGGUCGUAGCCAUUUCAUUGAGUCCAGGGCAGAAAAGGGGAAUAAAAAUGUGAAUGUAUUAGUUUGAGAACUUUACCUCUGAGAGAUUUCAGGAUUCAUUCCAAAGUGCAGAAAAUAAUAAAAAGCUCAAAAACAAUAUACAAGACUAGAAUCUAACAACAGGUGUGCUGUAGUAUUUUUCUGAAAUAUAAUGUUUUGCUCUCUAAUUUUCAUUUUUAUUUAAGACAUAUCAUAGUAGGAC
Molecule: long non-coding RNA, 1060 nt
Filed under: Macaca nemestrina (pig-tailed macaque)
Lineage: Eukaryota; Metazoa; Chordata; Mammalia; Primates; Cercopithecidae
Description: lncRNA (ENSMNEG00000046163.1)
Source: RNAcentral